CCCUUAGAUGUUCUGAGCUGCACGCGCGCUACACUGAAGCUAUCAACACGUUUUCCCUCCCUGAGAAGGGCGGGUAACCUUUUGAAUCAGCUUCGUGGUAGGGAUCGGGGCUUGCAAUUGUUCCCCGUGAACCAGGAAUUCCUAGUAGACGCGAGUCAUAAGCUCGCAUCGAUUAAGUCCCUGCCCUUUGUACACACCGCCCGUCGCUACUACCGAUUGAACGUUUUAGUGAGGCAUUUGGACCGACGCAUCUCAGUUUAACCGCUGGUUUGUGUUGGAAAGACUUCCAAACUUGAGCGUUUAGAGGAAGUAAAAGUCGUAACA
Molecule: ribosomal RNA, 324 nt
Filed under: uncultured eukaryote
Lineage: Eukaryota
Description: partial 18S ribosomal RNA
Rfam family: Eukaryotic small subunit ribosomal RNA
Source: RNAcentral